UACGGAGGGUGCAAGCGUUCAUCGGAAUUCCUGGGCGUAAAGCGCACGCAGGUGGCUGAGUCAGUCGAUUGUGAAAGCCCUGGGCUUAACCUGGGAAUUGCAGUCGAUACUACUCGGCUCGAGUAUGGGAGAGGGCAGUGGAAUUCCCGGUGUAGCGGUGAAAUGCGUAGAUAUCGGGAGGAACAUCAGUGGCGAAGGCGGCUGCCUGGCCCAAUACUGACACUCAGGUGCGACAGCGUGGGGAGCAAACAGG
Molecule: ribosomal RNA, 253 nt
Filed under: uncultured bacterium
Lineage: Bacteria
Description: partial 16S ribosomal RNA
Rfam family: Bacterial small subunit ribosomal RNA
Source: RNAcentral